RNAcentral lists this ribosomal RNA (934 nucleotides) under Arthrobacter globiformis. Its description in RNAcentral is "bacterial SSU rRNA". It matches the Rfam family "Bacterial small subunit ribosomal RNA", at positions 56 to 1007 of the family's 1533-position model. Lineage: Bacteria; Bacillati; Actinomycetota; Actinomycetes; Micrococcales; Micrococcaceae. The record is from RNAcentral. RNAcentral also lists the same sequence under 1 other name.
UGCAGUCGAACGAUGAUCCCCAGCUUGCUGGGGGGAUUAGUGGCGAACGGGUGAGUAACACGUGAGUAACCUGCCCUUAACUCUGGGAUAAGCCUGGGAAACUGGGUCUAAUACCGGAUAUGACUGACCGUCGCAUGGUGGUUGGUGGAAAGCUUUAUUGUGGUUUUGGAUGGACUCGCGGCCUAUCAGCUUGUUGGUGAGGUAAUGGCUUACCAAGGCGACAACGGGUAGCCGGCCUGAGAGGGUGACCGGCCACACUGGGACUGAGACACGGCCCAAACUCCUACGGGAGGCAGCAGUGGGGAAUAUUGCACAAUGGGCGCAAGCCUGAUGCAGCGACGCCGCGUGAGGGAUGACGGCCUUCGGGUUGUAAACCUCUUUCAGUAGGGAAGAAGCGAAAGUGACGGUACCUGCAGAAGAAGCGCCGGCUAACUACGUGCCAGCAGCCGCGGUAAUACGUAGGGCGCAAGCGUUAUCCGGAAUUAUUGGGCGUAAAGAGCUCGUAGGCGGUUUGUCGCGUCUGCCGUGAAAGUCCGGGGCUCAACUCCGGAUCUGCGGUGGGUACGGGCAGACUAGAGUGAUGUAGGGGAGACUGGAAUUCCUGGUGUAGCGGUGAAAUGCGCAGAUAUCAGGAGGAACACCGAUGGCGAAGGCAGGUCUCUGGGCAUUAACUGACGCUGAGGAGCGAAAGCAUGGGGAGCGAACAGGAUUAGAUACCCUGGUAGUCCAUGCCGUAAACGUUGGGCACUAGGUGUGGGGGACAUUCCACGUUUUCCGCGCCGUAGCUAACGCAUUAAGUGCCCCGCCUGGGGAGUACGGCCGCAAGGCUAAAACUCAAAGGAAUUGACGGGGGCCCGCACAAGCGGCGGAGCAUGCGAUUAUUCGAUGCAACGCGAAGAACUUACCAGCUUGACAUGACUAGACGCGCAGAGAU